GCAGUCGAGCGGUAGCACAGAGAGCUUGCUCUCGGGUGACGAGCGGCGGACGGGUGAGUAAUGUCUGGGAAACUGCCUGAUGGAGGGGGAUAACUACUGGAAACGGUAGCUAAUACCGCAUAACGUCGCAAGACCAAAGUGGGGGACCUUCGGGCCUCAUGCCAUCAGAUGUGCCCAGAUGGGAUUAGCUAGUAGGUGGGGUAACGGCUCACCUAGGCGACGAUCCCUAGCUGGUCUGAGAGGAUGACCAGCCACACUGGAACUGAGACACGGUCCAGACUCCUACGGGAGGCAGCAGUGGGGAAUAUUGCACAAUGGGCGCAAGCCUGAUGCAGCCAUGCCGCGUGUGUGAAGAAGGCCUUCGGGUUGUAAAGCACUUUCAGCGGGGAGGAAGGCGAUAAGGUUAAUAACCUUGUCGAUUGACGUUACCCGCAGAAGAAGCACCGGCUAACUCCGUGCCAGCAGCCGCGGUAAUACGGAGGGUGCAAGCGUUAAUCGGAAUUACUGGGCGUAAAGCGCACGCAGGCGGUCUGUCAAGUCGGAUGUGAAAUCCCCGGGCUCAACCUGGGAACUGCAUUCGAAACUGGCAGGCUAGAGUCUUGUAGAGGGGGGUAGAAUUCCAGGUGUAGCGGUGAAAUGCGU
This 642-nucleotide ribosomal RNA is filed under the name Klebsiella pneumoniae. Its description in RNAcentral is "bacterial SSU rRNA". It matches the Rfam family "Bacterial small subunit ribosomal RNA", at positions 57 to 691 of the family's 1533-position model. Lineage: Bacteria; Pseudomonadati; Pseudomonadota; Gammaproteobacteria; Enterobacterales; Enterobacteriaceae. The record is from RNAcentral.